RNAcentral lists this ribosomal RNA (393 nucleotides) under Theileria annulata. Its description in RNAcentral is "SSU rRNA". It matches the Rfam family "Eukaryotic small subunit ribosomal RNA", at positions 494 to 924 of the family's 1831-position model. The record is from RNAcentral. Lineage: Eukaryota; Apicomplexa; Aconoidasida; Piroplasmida; Theileriidae.
CUUAAAGUCUUGUAAUUGGAAUGAUGGGAAUUUAAACCUCUUCCAGAGUAUCAAUUGGAGGGCAAGUCUGGUGCCAGCAGCCGCGGUAAUUCCAGCUCCAAUAGCGUAUAUUAAAAUUGUUGCAGUUAAAAAGCUCGUAGUUGAAUUUCUGCUGCAUUGCUUGUGUCCCUCUGGGGUCUGUGCAUGUGGCUUUUUUCGGACGGAGUUUCUUUGUCUGAAUGUUUACUUUGAGAAAAUUAGAGUGCUCAAAGCAGGCUUUCGCCUUGAAUAGUUUAGCAUGGAAUAAUAAAGUAGGACUUUGGUUCUAUUUUGUUGGUUUUAGGUACCAAAGUAAUGGUUAAUAGGAACAGUUGGGGGCAUUCGUAUUUAACUGUCAGAGGUGAAAUUCUUAGA